CCUACGGGCGGCAGCAGUGGGGAAUAUUGCACAAUGGGCGCAAGCCUGAUGCAGCCAUGCCGCGUGUGUGAAGAAGGCCUUCGGGUUGUAAAGCACUUUCAGCGGGGAGGAAGGCGUUAAGGUUAAUAACCUUGUCGAUUGACGUUACCCGCAGAAGAAGCACCGGCUAACUCCGUGCCAGCAGCCGCGGUAAUACGGAGGGUGCAAGCGUUAAUCGGAAUUACUGGGCGUAAAGCGCACGCAGGCGGUCUGUCAAGUCGGAUGUGAAAUCCCCGGGCUCAACCUGGGAACUGCAUUCGAAACUGGCAGGCUAGAGUCUUGUAGAGGGGGGUAGAAUUCCAGGUGUAGCGGUGAAAUGCGUAGAGAUCUGGAGGAAUACCGGUGGCGAAGGCGGCCCCCUGGACAAAGACUGACGCUCAGGUGCGAAAGCGUGAGGAGCAAACAGGAUUAGAUACCCCGGUAGUC
RNAcentral lists this ribosomal RNA (465 nucleotides) under uncultured Klebsiella sp. Its description in RNAcentral is "bacterial SSU rRNA". It matches the Rfam family "Bacterial small subunit ribosomal RNA", at positions 338 to 795 of the family's 1533-position model. The record is from RNAcentral. Lineage: Bacteria; Pseudomonadati; Pseudomonadota; Gammaproteobacteria; Enterobacterales; Enterobacteriaceae.